GUUGGUCGCAUCUGCAUAUGAAAUUCCAAAUUAGCCCUCAACCAUGCCGGCCUCAGCAUCAUCGGCGCCGCCCCCUCCGACUCACAGCCGUCGUGAGGAUCUGAUCGGACGGUUGAGCUCUUCCUCCACCGAAGCAAAACUCAAAGCUCUCCGUGACCUUAAGAAUCAGAUCAUCGGUAACCGUACGAAAAAACUUUGUUUCCUCAAACUCGGCGCCGUUCCGUCUGUUACCUCAAUACUCUCUUCCUCCUCCGCCACCGCGGCCGCUUCUGCUGCUGUUUGUUCUGGUAAUGACGUGGAACUCAACGAUUCGCUAAUUAUUCAAUCCGCUGCUGCUAUUGGUAGCUUUGCUUGUGGCUUUGAUGAUGGUGUUAAAGCCGUCCUUGAUGCCGGUGCAUUUCCUCUUCUUCUUCGCCUUAUUUCUUAUCCUAAUGAUAAGGUAGUCGGAGCAGCUGCUCGAUCCCUUAAGUUCAUUUAUCAAUCGAAGUUAGCCCCAAGGUAUGAUUUUCUUCAGGGGAACAAUAUGGAAUUUAUCCAGUCGUUACUGAAUAGUGAAAAUGAGAAUGUGACUGGACUUGGUGCAAGUAUCAUUACACAUUCUUGCUGGACAAAUAUGGAGCAGAAGGCAUUAAGUGAUGCUGGAAUUAUUAAAAAGCUCACUUGUAUGCUUGGAGGGUCUUUAACUCAAAAAGAUGCUAGUUUGGAGUCUCUAGCCACUAUCCUAAAGGGAAAUCCUGAAGUCAUAUCAAAGUUCAUCGAACCUGAAAAUGGAGGAGCAUUGGGUACUGUUACUGAAUUGACCAAGGAUAAAAAUGCCCGGACAAGAUUGCUUGCUUGCAUAUGCUUGAUUGUCAUAAGGAACUCUGCUCCUUCUUGCCUUCAAGAUUUACGAAUCAAAACAAAAUUGAUACUAAUUCUACUUGAGCUUCUUGAUGAUGAUCAAGUUGGAGACGAAGCUCCUUUUGCCUUGUCUAGUUUAAUUGCAGAAAAGGAGGAUCUGCAAGUAUUAGCAUUCGAGGCAAAUGUUAUCGAUAAACUUGUCAACCACCUGCGGAAAGGCCCAUUAUUGUCGAGACGUUUGGAGGGAAUACUUAUUGCAUUGGCUAACAUGUGUUCAAGACUGGAACGCUGCAGGGAUCGGCUUUUGUCAUUAGAGGCUAUGAAGUUUGUAACUGAUGCCCUAAGUCAGGAUAGUGGUGAAGUGCGUGCUGCAGCAUGUGUUUGUUUGAAAAACGUUUCUCGCUCAGUGAAGAAUCUUAGUGCAGGUCUAUUUAUGAACGAGAGUUUUGUUGUUCCCUUGGUUCAGCUUUUAUUUGAUGAUUUGACCUUUGUCCAGGUUUCUGCCCUUGAUGCCAUCAGCAACAUAGUGGUUGAUUUCUUGGCACAUAAGACCAUGUUUAUGAAAUGUGGAGGUUUGAAGCAGCUUGUUCAGCUUUCGAAGUCAAUGGAUGCAACUAUUAGGGUAAAAGCUGUGUGUGCUUUAAGGAAUCUAACAUUCCUUGUGAGUGACAAGUGUAAAGAGGAAAUUCUAUCAGAACUCACACAGUUGACCUUAAGAAGCCUGAUUUGUGAUCCUGAGGCUUGUGUUCAAGAGCAAGCUUUAGCUUUGGUUUGUAAUCUGGUUGAUGGGCCUCUAGAUUCUAUCCAGCAUGUCUUUGCUGAGGACGCUCUUCUGCUGCAUGCUGUUGGACAGCAAUUGCAAAGUGCUUCAAAAGCUGAAGUCCUUAUUCAGGGUAUGUACGUCUUCAACAAUGUUGCAUCUGGAAAUGAGGUGCACAAGGAAGCGGUUAUGCAAGAGCUCUUUCCACCGUUAGCUAAUGAAUGUGAAUCAAUUAUGUCCAAGUUUUUACAUAGUGAUGAUAGCCGGUUACGUACAGCAGCAGUUUGGGCUCUAGUAAAUCUUACUUUUCCAAGCAGUUCUGGUGCAUUUGGCCGAGUGAUGAAAUUACGGAAUGCUGGCAUAGUUUCUCUGUUGAAAAAUAUGGUCAAUGAUCCUUGCCUUGAUGUAAAGCUUAGAGCGAGGACGGUUCUGGGGCAAUCAGUUACUUCUGGUGAUGGUUCUACAUGACUCUUAUAUUUUUAUCCUUAAUUCAGUGGUUGGUGAGAGAUUCUGGUGCAGAAUGUUGCUUGUGGACAUCACCAUGUUUUAUAUAAUGCCAUGUCUGCAAUCUUUGGGACCAAGGAGAACAUGUUAUGCACUCAUCAAGGUUUAAGCUUUACUUCCAGCAUUUUUCAAAUUCAAGGCUUUUGCUUUGCUUGGUUUAUGCUUGUGUGGCCUAGCCGGUCAUAUUCAACUGCAUCAUUCUGUACCCCAGCCGCAAUUUUGUAUAUUUUUUGUCCUAGUUAUAAAUAUAUUAUUAUCUGUGAUUGUUGCACCUGUUAUUCUGUAUUCCCCCCCUAUUGGGGGGUGUUAGCAAGGAUAAUUAAUGAGA
RNAcentral lists this unclassified non-coding RNA (2432 nucleotides) under Hevea brasiliensis (rubber tree). The record is from RNAcentral. Lineage: Eukaryota; Viridiplantae; Streptophyta; Magnoliopsida; Malpighiales; Euphorbiaceae.